This 406-nucleotide ribosomal RNA is filed under the name uncultured bacterium. RNAcentral's name for it is "partial 16S ribosomal RNA". It matches the Rfam family "Bacterial small subunit ribosomal RNA", at positions 30 to 526 of the family's 1533-position model. The record is from RNAcentral.
AUUGAACGCUGGCGGCAGGCUUAACACAUGCAAGUCGAGCGAGCGGCGGACGGGUGAGUAAUGUCUGGGAAACUGCCUGAUGGAGGGGGAUAAAUACUGGAAACGGUAGCUAAUACCGCAUACCAUCAGAUGUGCCCAGAUGGGAUUAGCUAGUAGGUGGGGUAAUGGCUCACCUAGGCGACGAUCCCUAGCUGGUCUGAGAGGAUGAACAGCCACCCUGGAACUGUGACACUGUCCAGAGUCCUACGGGAGGCAGCAGUGGGGAAUAUUGCACAAUGGGCGCAAGCCUUAGGCAGUCAUGCCGGUUGUGUGAAGAAGGCCUUCGGGUUGUAAAGCACUUUCAGCGGGGAGGCGUUACUCGCAGAGGAAGCAACGGCUAACUCCGUGCCAGAAGCCGCGGUAAUUC